Molecule: unclassified non-coding RNA, 1196 nt
Filed under: Leishmania donovani
Lineage: Eukaryota; Euglenozoa; Kinetoplastea; Trypanosomatida; Trypanosomatidae
Description: gene:unknown
Source: RNAcentral
UGGACGAGCGGAGGGAGUGUGGCGCGUUGACUCCGAUUGCUGGCCACGACUCAUGCUCUGCCGCCGCCGCGCUCCCCUCCCCUCCAGGAGUCACAAAGCCGCAAAGAGGGUCAUGUGCAGCGAAGCAAAAAGAAAGAUUUCUGAGUGACGGCAGACGGAAGGAAGACUUGCCGACGCGAUUAUCAGCGGCACACACACAGGCACCGCACACAAAGAGGUCGUCGUCCUUUGAUUAUCUUUAGAUGUUGUCUCGCCUCAAUCAAACAGGGAUCGGCCAGUGUGGUGCCGCUCUCCGGGUGUUUCGUGCUGAUGUGUGUGUGUUUGUUUGUGAAUGUGCGUGAUGCAAUGCCGUGUAGCGGGUGUGAGUGCCAGCGCUCUUAGUUUCCAAUGAUGGCCCUCGUGUUCGAGGUCGGUGCUAUCCUUGACGAGAAUAGCUCAAGCGAGCGCUCUUUUGGACCUCCCCACAGGUGCGUCCCUGAGCGCGCCUGUACGCUCUCCCUGCGGCUACUCUUGGAAAGCGAAAAAAGCAAACAACGAAGGGAGCGAACACAGAAACAGAAGGGAGGGAACAGCGGAAGUGGACGUGUGCGUCCACCCCCCUCCCCCGCUCCCUUCUUCCCCCACCCCUUCCCCUCACAAGCGCAGGUAGACACCUAACGAUCCACACCGGCAGCUGUUUUGGUGGCGCGAUGUGCUAAACAUAAGUGAAAAAAAAAUGAGAAACACUGGAGCAAACGUACCUGUAAAAGAGGUUCUGCGUAUAUAUGUAUAUAUACAUAUAUGCAUAUACAUACAUAAAGGUACACACUGUAAUGAGCAAAGACAAAGAGAAUCCACAAUGCAUGCUCGAGAACGCAUGGGAGGCAACGAGACUGCGCAGGUUGCUUCGAGCAGCGUGUGCCGGUAACGCCAGAGCGGCCGUCGCCUUACAGGUGUAGCUUUCCGGCAUCGCUCGUGUGCGCGCAGAAGGUGUUGACGUGUGACAGCCGACGACCUUGGGAUGUGCUUGUGUGUGUGCUUUCUGCGGUAGUGGGCCACAGCGACAGGCUAGCACGUGUCACAAAGAGAACAGAUGAAGUGCUUUUCGCCCGAUUUUCCAUCUUCCGCUCUUGCUGUUCUCGCACAUCGCUGUGGUCGACCCUUGCGGUUUUGUCCAGCAGCUGAAGGCCCACACUGGGCUAGCACGUUGGUCUGAC